UACGUAGGGUGCGAGCGUUGUCCGGAAUUAUUGGGCGUAAAGAGCUCGUAGGCGGUUCUGUCGCGUCUGCUGUGAAACUCAGGGCUUAACCCUGAGCUUGCAGUGGGUACGGGCAGACUAGGAGUGCGGUAGGGGAGACUGGAAUUCCUGGUGAUAGCGGUGAAAUGCGCAGAUAUCAGGGAGGGAACACCGGUGGGCCGAAAGGCGGGGUCUCUGGGC
RNAcentral lists this ribosomal RNA (219 nucleotides) under uncultured bacterium. Its description in RNAcentral is "partial 16S ribosomal RNA". It matches the Rfam family "Bacterial small subunit ribosomal RNA", at positions 524 to 734 of the family's 1533-position model. The record is from RNAcentral.